RNAcentral lists this ribosomal RNA (113 nucleotides) under Periophthalmus magnuspinnatus. The record is from RNAcentral. Lineage: Eukaryota; Metazoa; Chordata; Actinopteri; Gobiiformes; Gobiidae.
UGUUGUGGCCUUACCAUUUUCCAGUGUCUGAUCUUGUCUGAUCUUGGAAGCUAAGCCAAGUUGGGCCUGGUUAGUACUUGAGAGACUGCUUGGAAUACCAUGUGUCACAUUGG